Molecule: non-coding RNA, 4062 nt
Organism: Nelumbo nucifera (sacred lotus)
Lineage: Eukaryota; Viridiplantae; Streptophyta; Magnoliopsida; Proteales; Nelumbonaceae
Source: RefSeq, a predicted model, not a curated record
CGACGACGUGAGGGGGAAAAAGAAGAGUAGAGAGAGAGAGAGAGAGAGAGAGAGAGUGAGGCUGUGUGUGAUUACUCUGAUUAGUGAGUGACAAGAGAAUGAAAAGGGAGAGAGAAUAACGAAGAGAGAGAAACGACGACGACGCCAAAAAUAAGGCACGCCACGCCUCGCCUCGUCGUGUUUUAAAAGCUUUGUUUUCCUUAUUUUAUUUUUGUUACUUGUGUGUUUCUCUCUCUCGCUCUCUUUCUCUCUCGCCCACUCCAAAAAACCCCUCUCCAACCUCUCUCUCAUGAUUACAGAUCACGGCACCACGCUCACCUUCUGUCAUCCUUUUGGAGUACGUCUCUAGGGUUUUUGUUUUCUUGCUUUUCUACUUUUGUGGCUCUGAAAGUGGAGAGCUUCGAUGUCGUCGUCGUCUUCUGCGGCUGCUUCUGCUGUUCAGAAGAUCUGUUUCAAUCCCGACUGUAAGGAUGCUAAAUCGGAGAGGUUGAGGAAAGGAUGGCGCCUUCGGAACGGAGAUUAUGCGGAGCUCUGUGAUCGAUGCGCUUCUGCAUUUGAGGAAGGGAGAUUCUGUGAAACUUUUCACUCAGAAGCUGCUGGUUGGAGGAGCUGUGAGAUCUGUGGGAAGCGGGUACAUUGUGGAUGUAUUGCUUCAUUCCAUGCAUUUUUAUUAUUGGAUGUUGGAGGAAUUGAGUGUAUUGCAUGCGCUAGGAAAAAUGUAAUUCCGCCAUCAAACCCAAUAUGGCCGCCAUCUUUUUUUCUGCCAUUACCUCUACCUGAGAGACUUAAAGAUGUCAAUAUGAAGAACUGGAGUCAGAUUGCUGGGCCAAGUGCGGUUGCAGGGCAAUGGCGUCAAACACCCAAUAUAUGGAAUACUGCUGCUGCUCAGCCUGAGUUGCAGUCAAGGAUGCCCUAUGAAGUUGAGAGAUCAGGUGCUGUUUCUGCCAUGGACAAGAAGGCUGAAGAUCCAUCUGAAAGAUUAGCAUCUAACAGCUUGAAGCUUGCUGCACCAGAUAGACUUGCAAAUGGAGAAAAUGAUCCAGCAGAUGCGAGAAAAGGAGCUUUUGCUGAAUCUGGCUUGAACACUACUGCUAUUAACUUUGAGACACCUCCAGGUUCAAGUGUAAACGUUUCACUUCCGUCAUCCAUUUCAAAGGAUGAACCGUCAACUCUGCAUUUUGGGUUUGGUGUACCUUAUGCUUCACCCAAUGAUACAAAUGGUGCAACUAGGGUUUCUGGAACUCAAUCACAAAGGCAGACUCCACCUCCGUCGGCAAAGCAAGUCUAUGCUACUCCAAAUAAUGGGCCUGAUUCAUCUGGUGAAACUCAGUUACGCAAUGGAAGACCUCGAGGUGACGCCCGAGGAAGGAAUCAGUUACUUCCUAGAUACUGGCCCAGGAUAACAGAUCAGGAGCUACAACAAAUCUCUGGAGACACAAAUUCUGUCAUUACACCACUGUUUGAAAAGAUGUUAAGUGCUAGUGAUGCUGGCCGGAUUGGGCGUUUGGUGCUUCCAAAAAAAUGUGCAGAGGCUUAUUUCCCUACAAUUUCUCAACCCGAAGGAUUGCCUCUUCAAGUCCAGGAUGCAAGAGGCAAGGAAUGGGUGUUCCAAUUCCGUUUUUGGCCUAAUAAUAACAGCAGAAUGUAUGUCUUAGAGGGGGUUACACCUUGUAUUCAGUCGAUGCAAUUGCAGGCAGGUGAUACAGUAACAUUCAGCCGGAUUGAUCCGGAAGGAAAGCUGGUCAUGGGAUUCAGAAAGGCUUCUAGUGUUCCACCUUCUGACCAGGAAAAUCAAACACCUAAAUCAGGAAGUGGUGUCUCUGCAAAUGGAGAGGUUAAUUCAGCAGAUCCAGCAAGCACCUGGUCCAAGGUUGAUAAAUCAGGAUACAUAGCAAAAGAUGUACCUGGAGCUAAAUCUUCUCUUCCUAGUAAGAGGAAAAGCAGUACCCUUGGCUCAAAGAGCAAACGCCUGCGAAUUGAAAAUGAGGACUUAAUAGAGCUCAAGCUAACAUGGGAAGAAGCUCAAGGGCUGCUCUGCCCACCUCCUAACCAUGCUCCUAGUAUUGUGGUGAUUGAAGGCCACGAGUUUGAAGAAUAUGAGGAAGCACCAGUUCUUGGGAAGCCAACAAUUUUAACAACCAAUAAUCAAGGUGAAAAGGUUCAAUGGGCUCAGUGUGAAGACUGUUCUAAGUGGCGGAAGCUGCCUUUUGAUGUGCUCCUUCCUUCGAGAUGGACCUGUUCCAAGAAUUUAUGGGAUCCAAAACGGUCUUCAUGUACUUCAGCACAAGAGCUAAGUAUAGAACAGCUUGAAGAUAUGAUAUCCUCUGCGAAAAUUUCUACUUCCAAGAGAACCAAGGCUGCCAAGCAGGUCAAGGAUACUGUUGAAGCAUCUGAUGGGCUUGACACCCUAGCAAACCUUGCCAUUAUGGGAGAGGGUGAGGCUCUCCCCCCAUCUGCCCAGCCCACUACCAAGCAUCCUCGCCAUCGUCCAGGGUGCACAUGCAUUGUCUGCAUCCAGCCUCCAAGUGGCAAGGGCCCCAAGCACAAGCAGACAUGCACAUGCAAUGUUUGUCUUACUGUCAAGCGCCGCUUCCGCACCCUUAUGUUGCGGCGGGAGAAGCGACAAUCAGAGAAGGAAGCAGAGACAGCUCGUAAGAAGCAGCAGCAGCUUCAGAUGCCUGAGAAGACAACAGAUCAGGAGGAUGAUCCACCAAUUGGUAAUGCAAGCAAUGGCAGUCCAAACCAGAAAAUAGCAGUGAAUGAGAUUGCUGAUGAGGAUCCUAACAGGAAGAAACCUUCCUCUUCACCUCUUAAAGGCCAGAUUGAUCUGAACAUCCAGCCAGAAAGGGAGGAUGAACCAUCACCUGUGUCAGAUUCUGGCAGCAUGCUUAAGAUGAUUAGAGAUGCCACUGAGAUGUAUCUCAGGAAGCAGAGGCUCCCAAGUUCCGCCAACAGAGAUCUUGUUGUCAAUCAGUUGGAGCCGGGUGGGAGUAGUACUGGAGGAGAGAAGCUUGAUUGUGUUCAGCAUGGUAGCAAUCAUCUAAAAGUUGAUGUGGACCAUCCCAUCACUUUAUCUAUGUCCAUAUCUGCUCCCACAUCAGCAACAGGCUAGACUUUCAGUAUUGCAUGUUAUGUAACAUUGAAGAUCGGCACUAUGGGGAAUGGUUCCAUGUAAAUUCAUUUAAAUCAGCAUCGGGCAUUCCACUAAACCUAUUACCCAUCCCAUAAGCAACGGCUUUCCUUGUACAUAAAAAGAGGGUACAUCUUUUAGUGCCAGCGUUUGGACAUUUCUUCAAACAAAAAAUCAAAAUGUUUGAGGUAUUCCUGUUUCUUGGCCCUCGGCUGACUCUUUUAUGGUCAAUAUAAAGCCGGAUAAAACUUUAGUUGUGGAAGCAAGGAUUAGGAAUUGGUCAAUUCAAACCCGUAGCUGCUACUAAUGCACCAUCCAGUUCAUCAAACAGGGGUCUUGAUUGCUACCUUCCCAUCUCUACGGUCUAUGUCAACCCUAUACUGCCGUAUCAGAUUUUUCCCUGGGAAUAGCAAGUUGUUUGAAAAAACCAACAGUGAUCCGGUUAUACAUUAUGGGCGGGGGCAGGCUGCGGAUGUCAGAACACCUGAUACCACCGUUUGAUCGAGACGGAUGGAUGGAGCUUUUACUGAAUCUAAACAAUAAACAUGCAGGGUAUGGUUUUUCGUUAAAAGAUGGUAAGGGGGAAACUUUUUUGAUGGCAGCUGCCUACAAGGAUGAGCCACGCUCGGCCUCGGCUGUGUUCUCUGAAGCAUUUGCUUUUUAUUGGCUUUGGGAGGGAGCAACUCGUUCUCUCCGGAUAAAGAAUAUAUAGUGAUUAAAAACUUUAAAAGCGACUGUCCAAUGUUGGUAAAAUCUUUAUGAUUAAAGCGGAAUAAGCUUACGCAGAUGCAGAUUUUCUUAUUAAGUCGGUCUCUUUUGAACAUCUUUAACAGGAAUCUCAACAGUAUGGGCUUAUGGAUUGGAACACCCCAGUUGGCCAGAGAACUAGUUCUGGCGUGUUAUGAAGUGUGGCUCAUCAGCUCGGUGGCCAG